UUCUGGGAAAUGUAGUCACGGCGCUCCGGAAGCUCGCAGGCACAGCCGCCCUUAGUAGGACGCCUGCUCAGCCAUCUUUCCCCCGUCUGAGGUGGUUCGGACGCGCUCCUGACGACACUUUCCAGCAACCCGAGACGCGCGAGGCGCCCGCAGUCCGGGCGACCCGGUGCCAUCCCCAGCGCGACCAGGAGUCGUGUACCGCCAGUCACAAGCGUCCCCGCAAAGGAGAAAGCCACGGAAGGCCAGGACUCUACAUCUCGGAGGGAAGGUGAAGAAACCAUGAGCAGGUUCAAGCCAGAGGCAGUGAUGUUCCAGGACGUGGACGUGGCCUUCUCGGAGGAGGAGCUGGGGCUGCUGGAGCCUGCCCAGCAGAAGAUGUACCAGGAAGUGAUGCUGGAGAACUUCCAGAACCUGCUGUCCCUGGUUGAGCCCCUCGCCCUCUGGAAUGGACUAUUAGGCCCUUGAGUCAGCACAGGAUCCUUCCUCAGGGGUUGAACACUUUGAGGGUCUCCAGGUCAUCACCACACCUGUGAACCUAACUUAUGUGGCAGCUGUUUUCAAUAAAAAAGGAUAACAUUUGAGUUUGUUGGGAAGAAUAGGAUAGAUACAUUGCUGCAAAAAUUGGCCAAUAUUGUGUGAUGCGAAAGAGUGGGUGGAAAUUUGUAUAGACAUUGGCAUUAAUUUGUGUUUUGGGAUGGAAAUGUAUGCAUCCUUGUUGGUGUAUAAGCAAUGGUGGUUCUUCAACAAGGCUUUUUUCCAGUUUGUGAAAUCACUGCUUUGGAAGGAUUAAUCAGCAGGCAGCAGGAACGCUGUUCAGGAGAUUGUGCCUUUCUUAUAUCCAUUUGACGUACUAGUCUUGAGCUAUUCAUGGGACUUCCCACAGUCCAUUCUGCUCAGAGAAGGCAUUUGUGAUGAGGAUCAGCCCUAGGAGAAGGGGUAGCAGCAGGACCUAGGAAUGGCCAGCCCUUGGAUUGCUUGUGUGUGGUGUCAGCCCGGUGCUUUUCUUUCUGGAGUCUUUCCCAAAGUGGGCAGGGGAAUUGGAGUAUGAUACGGCCCCCGAGCCCAAGAACCUCUGGAAUAAUCCAGGGAGGUGGUGCGGAAGUAGCCUUAAGUACACUUGUUUGAUCACUUUGAGAAGGUAGAUUUCUAGGGCUAUACUGAGUAAUAUUUUUUUCCUGAAACAGGGGUAGUAGACCAAAUACCUUUGGGACCCUUGGAGGUUACCUGAAUUUGUGUGUUGGGUUCUUUUUUUUUUUUUUUGGUUGUUUUUGUUUUUGUGUUUUGGCCACAUUCCAGAAAUACUCAGGGGUUACUCCUGCUCUAUACUCAGGAAUUACUCCUGGCACUGUUCAGGUAACCAUAGGGAUCAGAUUGGAGUUGGCCAUAUGCAAGGCAGGUGCCCUGUCCUCUGUACUAUUGCAGUGGCCCCAGGAGUGGUCAGAAUUUACAGAUGCCAUGAGAUAACCCAAAUAAUGGAGCACAUGCCCGACAAGUUUAGUAGCUUGAGUACCUACCAGUUCUCCAUUCCCCUGCCCCACCCCCAGCACUGCCAACUAUAGGGUCGGUGGUUCCUGUGUGUCACUGUGCUGGGCAUCAGCCCUGAGCACUAGUAGAAGUGACUACACCCCCUGGGGCCCUGCUGAUUGUUACCCCCAUGAAAAAGUCUGCAGAUUCUGUCACCACAUCCCCAGUGUACCAGUACAGAAAAAUAAGAUAUAGUAGACAUAUUAGUCUCACAAUGAAAAUGUUACUGGUGCCUGCUCUAGAAAAUUGAUGAACAAUGGGACGAUAGUGCUACAGUGCUACACAAACUAGCAGAAUUUUUGGUUAUACUUUGAAUACAUAUUCAGAAUACUACUUAGUAUACAUACAGAGUAUGAAUCUAAAAUGUACGUUACUGCUUCCCUUCUAGUUGGUUUAUAUUUUCUCUGUAUAACUGUUGAUUCUUCUUACUAACUACACGAUAUAAUAGCUAAGAUUUUAUAUUAACAUUGAAAUUUAAUAGAAGUGGCCAUAUGUGAUGAGUUCGAAUCAUAAUGAUUUAUAGAAAUAAAAUCUAUACUGAA
Molecule: long non-coding RNA, 2066 nt
Organism: Sorex araneus (European shrew)
Lineage: Eukaryota; Metazoa; Chordata; Mammalia; Eulipotyphla; Soricidae
Exons: 4
Source: RefSeq, a predicted model, not a curated record